GCCGGGUGAGUGAGACGGUUUCACGUCAGGCUCAUAUCCUGAAAAAAGUGGGUUCAACUCCCAUACCCGACA
This 72-nucleotide transfer RNA is filed under the name Nodularia phage vB_NpeS-2AV2. It matches the Rfam family "tRNA". Rfam says of the family: Transfer RNA (tRNA) molecules are approximately 80 nucleotides in length. Their secondary structure includes four short double-helical elements and three loops (D, anti-codon, and T loops). The record is from Rfam by way of RNAcentral. RNAcentral also lists the same sequence under 5 other names. Lineage: Duplodnaviria; Heunggongvirae; Uroviricota; Caudoviricetes.